Molecule: long non-coding RNA, 4225 nt
Organism: Nyctereutes procyonoides (raccoon dog)
Lineage: Eukaryota; Metazoa; Chordata; Mammalia; Carnivora; Canidae
Exons: 5
Source: RefSeq, a predicted model, not a curated record
CAGAGGGAGAAGCAGGCUCCUUGCAGGGAGCCAGAUGCGGGACUCGAUCCUGGGACUCCAGGAUCAUGCCCUGAUGGAAGAAAUCCUAUUGACGUCUUCUCAAGUUCUCUGGUUCCAGCCCCUGUCAUCUUUAAUACUGAGUCCAUUCAACAAGUUUUAUUUCUUUAUUCAUGAGAGACACAGAGAGGCAGAGACACAGGCAGAGGGAGAAGCAGGCUCCUCAAGGAGAGCCCACUACAGGACUCGAUCCAGGGACUCCAGGAUCACGCCCUGAGUCGAAGAGAGAUGCUCAACCGAUGAGCCACCCAGUUCUCAGUAACACUAGAGAGAGACUCGGCGGACACGUUUUAGUUCUCAUCUUAUGGCUCCCAGAAGCAUCCAGCGCCUUUGGCAUUGUUCCCUGUCUUGGAGAGAUCUACGUGCAGGUGUCAGACAGAGCCAGCCAUCCAGGGCUGAAGCUCAACCUCAAGGAUUCAACUAUACUAUACUUCAUGGAUGUGAUAUAUCUGGGACCAUGUGGAUCUGUUCUGGCAAAGAAAAUAUAUCCAGCAGAGCAGCUGCAAUAGAGACUGUUACCACCUUGAAUUUCCAAUAGUCUACUCACUUGCAAGGAGGUUUCCAGAUUUUAUGGAGGACAUUUUGACAAUACAGAUAUGUUGAAAAAAUUUUGAAUAAUAUUUUUCUUCCUAUGAUGUAAUAUAUUUUUUUAAAAAUUUCUUGGCCAGACAGGUACUGUAGGGCAAUUUUACAGGUUUUCACUUGAGUGUCCUCACUAUGCUAGGUCUUAUCCUAGGGGAAAGGAGUAUUGUAGUUUUGCUAACUAUCAACAUGAUCAUUUCCAUUAUACAAUUCGGGACCAAAGAAACUACCCUCGGUGAGUCCAUUCACUAAUGGAUCCACUGUGAGUCACAACUGGACCUAGACUUUAUUAUUCCUCUUGUAUAUGGGGAAUGGAAUAGAGUAACUGUGAAAAAUCCUCUAGACCAAGGGUUGGCAGACUUUUUCUUAAAAGGCCAGAUAGCUAAUAUCUUGGGAGUUGAGCUUACCUUCAACUACUCAUCAACUCUGCUGUUGUAGCACAAAAAUGGCCAUAGAUAAAAUGACUAUGGCGGUGAUCCCAUCGCAAGGGGUUUAGCUAGACUUUAACAGGAAGAAUGUGACCUUUCUGCAGAAUUCUAUUUUGCCUAAUCUGGAGAUUCACGAUUUUCAAGGCCUUGCCCUCAUAUCCCCAUACCAAGUUGCAGAAUUUUACUUUUCUGGAAUAAGGACACUGACAGGGCUUCACAGAUUUGCUGAUCUUGAGAAUUCAACCUUCACUAGAGCUCCGCUUACAUUAUAAUUUUAUAAUCGAGUUAUGGGUCUGAUACUCAGCUUUUUCAGUCUUUUGGCAACAGGAGAUGAGACUUUUUCUGUGCUGCUGGGAUGCCCUCUGACUUUCAUACCGAGCCUGCAUUUGAUAAUUAAUCACCUUCAGUCUUUCACAGCGGUUUUUCUAAAAUGUUGCGAGCCCCUAGCAAAAGCCAGAUUCCAGAUCCCUGCAAUUAUUACUUCAUAUCAUCUCUCAAAUGUCUGAGGUCUUGCACUCACCAGUGCAUUCAUUCCCUUCUGCCAAGGAUUUUAGCAGCUGCAGCACCUUUGCCUUCCAGGGGCUACCUACAUUCCACCUACAAGCCAUGUGGCCAAUGACAUAGCUAUAAAAUUCCCACUUAAAGUCUGUUUUCUCAGCCCACUUUUGGUACCAAAGCUUGUCUUUCUCAUAUUCCAAGAACACAGUGCAGAGAUAGGGAUUCUUGUGCCCCUGUGCAUGCUGUUAGGAACUAUACCCAGAAGGAAGUAGAGAGAAUGGGAUUAGGAAUAGUGGACUAGUAAUAGAGCAGGAGCCUCAGCAGUCCCUGUAGAGCUUCAGGCCUUGGGAUGACCCUUCAUAGAUGCUCUUAAUUGAGGCAAAGGACCAGCCCUUCAUACCCCUGCAUUGACUAGUUCAUGCAGGGAUGAAGGAAGAACAGAAAAAGGCAGCUCUGCUUGGCUGAGGACAAUUCCUGGAGAAGGCCUCAAUUUUGGGUUGUUGGCACACAGAGCUCUAGGCAUAUGGAGAGUAAGCAUCUCACUUUAAAAAGGGGGAAAUAAGUGAGCCAUGCCACAGCAUCAAAUACCACAUUGUUUGCUGUGCCUCUUGCUUCCUGCCAAAACCGAACACUGACACACAGAACAAACUUGUCGGGCCCUAAAGGAGAGCUGGGAACAUAAGCCGAUGUUUGAAAAUCAACACCCAAAAAUCUUGCCUCUUUGCUUCUUGCUCUGCACCCUUUCCUUCUUUCCUUGCUUAACCUAUUUUAGAAGUUCUUGUUCUUCAUAUAACCGGUUCCAAAUGUUUGCUCUCCUUAGUUUACAGUUCCUCUGUGCCCCCAAGACUAUGGCUUGCAGUGUCUUAUGACCUUGUGAUCCCAUUUUGUGCUUUUAAAAAAUGGCUUUGUUGUUGUUGUUGUUACCAGGCCUCUCAGUUGGCAAAUGCAAACACUAGUCAUGUCCCUUUCCUUAAAUUAGAUAGGAAUUUGACUAAUUCCAGAUUUUUGAAUACACUUUAGAGUAUUUGGACUUUGCUUAGAAAAAUAUUAGUUAAUGUAUAUAACAGAUAUUUGAGUACUUACUUUGCAUUAGACACUGUAUUGGUCCUCAGUUAUCUUUGUAGCUAUAGGAAUAAAGUAGCUAUAUUCAAUUUACAUUGAUUCUCAGAAGUAUAUCCCAUAACAGUUCUGGGCCUGCAUCCCAAAAGAGCCAGAAGACUAUGAGUAGAUAUAUUUUGCAACUCUCAGGGGCAUUUUCUUAAGAAUCAGUUAUCUGUUGAUAUAAUAUUAUAGGGUCCACAAUAAAACUCACGCAAAGCAUUGUUGCUCAUGAAUUUUGGGUCAACUGGGAAUUUCUGGUCUUAGCUGUUCUUAUGCACCUGAAUUUAGCCAUGAGUUAGGGAAGCAGCUCUGCUAGUCUUAGCAGUAUUAUGUCCUGUGCUCAGAGGUUGGCUGGCUGUAGGCUGGUCUAGAAUGGCAUUGGCUAGGAAAAUAAGGUUGCCUGCUACUAGGUCUCAUAUUCUCUAGCACGCUAGUCCAGACUUUUUCACAUGGCAUAAAAGGAAUUUAAAAAGAGUGAGCAGAAUUAUAUACAAGGCCUCUUGAGGCCUCAAUUUGAAAUGGACACAAUAUUGCAUCAGCUGUAUUCCUAGACAGAACAAGUCACAAAUCAGCAAAUUUUCAAAAGCUGAAUGAAUAAACUCCACCACUUAGUGGGAGGAAUUUUGAAAACAUUGCAAGUGAUAUGAAUACCAGAAGAGGAAUAAUUGUGGAUGUUUUUAUAAUUAACCUAUUGUAAUAUAGAGCUAAGUUUUCCACUGGGCUUUUUUCUCCCAAUAUAUUCCAUAUUCUAAAUAUUUGAAUUUUCCAAAUAAAACCUUUACUAAUAGUUAGGGUUUUAGAAUUUAUUUGCCACUUGUCUAAACCAAACAAAAUUAAAAUAUUCAAUCCCAUUAAAAUAUAUAAUUAAUCCUUCCAAAUCUGAAUAUCUGGCCAAUAAAUAGUAUAUUUAAAAACAAAACAAAACAAAAAAACUCUUUUUUCAUUUCCCUGGCUAAUUCUUUUUGAUUACUGACCACCAAAAUCAAUAUUGGCACAAUUGUAGUAUUUUCAGCUCUUUCAAAAUGGAGCUAGAAGUAGCAGAAAUAGAAUUAAGGGGAUGCAAGGUCAGCAUGUGCUGUGCACUGGUCAUACUGCUCUGUCUAGUGUCCUGAUUUAUACUUGUCACAUACUAAGGGCUCAACUCAGCUGUACUGUGAUGCCAACUUUAUUGUUGUUAUUAGCUUUAUAUGAAGUGAUUUGUGUGAUGUAGAAAAAAAUGAAUUGUGGGAAUUCAAAAUUUGGCAUAAUUCUGGUAUAAAAAUCGAUGUUUGAAAAUCAACACCAAUUGGAAUUCCAAUUGGAAUAUUGGAAACUAAAAUGAAGAAUGCAGCAAGAAAGAUUUGGUUUCCUCACUUCUAAGUACAUUAGAUAAAGUACUCUAAAUCAAAAGAUAUCCAGUGUGGGGCACCUGGGUGGCUCAGUGGUUGAGCGUCUGCCUUCAGCUCAGGUCGUGAUCCUAGGGUCCUGGGAUCGAGUCCCACAUCGGGUUCCCCAUGGGGAGCCUGCUUCUCCCUCUGCCUAUGUCUCUGCCUCUGUCUCUCAUGAAUAAAUAAAUAAAA